This 492-nucleotide ribosomal RNA is filed under the name uncultured bacterium. RNAcentral describes it as "partial 16S ribosomal RNA". It matches the Rfam family "Bacterial small subunit ribosomal RNA", at positions 29 to 507 of the family's 1533-position model. The record is from RNAcentral.
AGUGAACGCUGGCGGUAGGCCUAACACAUGCAAGUCGAACGACAGCACAGUAAGAGCUUGCUCUUACGGGUGGCGAGUGGCGGACGGGUGAGGAAUACAUCGGAAUCUACUUUUUCGUGGGGGAUAACGUAGGGAAACUUACGCUAAUACCGCAUACGACCUACGGGUGAAAGCAGGGGAUCUUCGGACCUUGCGCGAUUGAAUGAGCCGACGUCGGAUUAGCUAGUUGGCGGGGUAAAGGCCCACCAAGGCGACGAUCCGUAGCUGGUCUGAGAGGAUGAUCAGCCACACUGGAACUGAGACACGGUCCAGACUCCUACGGGAGGCAGCAGUAGGGAAUCUUGGACAAUGGGCGAAAGCCUGAUCCAGCAAUACCGCGUGGGUGAAGAAGGCCUUCGGGUUGUAAAGCCCUGUUGUUGGGAAAGAAAAGCAGCAGGUUAAUCCCCCGCUGUUCUGACGGUACCCAAAGAAUAAGCCCCGGCUAACUUCGUG